RNAcentral lists this ribosomal RNA (253 nucleotides) under uncultured bacterium. Its description in RNAcentral is "partial 16S ribosomal RNA". It matches the Rfam family "Bacterial small subunit ribosomal RNA", at positions 524 to 776 of the family's 1533-position model. The record is from RNAcentral.
UACGGAGGGUGCAAGCGUUAUCCGGAUUCACUGGGCUUAAAGGGUGCGUAGGUGGGUUGGUAAGUCAGUGGUGAAAUCUCCGAGCUUAACUUGGAAACUGCCAUUGAUACUAUCAGUCUUGAAUACCGUGGAGGUCAGCGGAAUAUGUCAUGUAGCGGUGAAAUGCUUAGAUAUGACAUAGAACACCAAUUGCGAAGGCAGCUGACUACGCGAAUAUUGACACUGAUGCACGAAAGCGUGGGGAUCAAACAGG